RNAcentral lists this ribosomal RNA (468 nucleotides) under uncultured bacterium. RNAcentral describes it as "partial 16S ribosomal RNA". It matches the Rfam family "Bacterial small subunit ribosomal RNA", at positions 28 to 507 of the family's 1533-position model. The record is from RNAcentral.
GACGAACGCUGGCGGCGUGCUUAACACAUGCAAGUCGAACGGAACGGCCCUGCUUUUGUGGGGUGCUCGAGUGGCGACCGGGUGAGUAACACGUGAGUAACCUGUCCUUGCCUUUGGGAUAACUUCAGGCAACUGGGGCUCAUACCGGAUAGGAGCUCCUGCUGCUUGGUGGGGGUUGGUAAGAUUCGGCGGUUGGGGAUGGACUAGCGGCUUAUCGGCUUGUUGGUUGGGUAGUGGCUUACCAUGGCAUGGAAAGGUAGCCGGCCUGGGAGGGGGACCGGCCACAUUGGGACUGAGAUACGACACAGACUCCAACGGGAGGCAACAGUGGAGAGUAUUGCACAGUAGGCGGAGGCCUGAUGCAGCAACGACGCGUGCGGGAUGACGUCCUUCGGGUUGUGAACCGCUGUCGCCUGUGACGAGGCGAUAGUGACGGUAAUGGGUAAAGAAGCACCGGCUAACUACGUG